CCUACGGGUGGCAGCAGUGAGGAAUAUUGGUCAAUGGGCGCAAGCCUGAACCAGCCAAGUCGCGUGAGGGACGACUGCCCUACGGGUUGUAAACCUCUUUUAUAAGGGAAGAAAGAGUGGCACGUGUGCCAUUUUGUAUGUACUUUAUGAAUAAGGAUCGGCUAACUCCGUGCCAGCAGCCGCGGUAAUACGGAGGAUGCGAGCGUUAUCCGGAUUUAUUGGGUUUAAAGGGUGCGUAGGUGGGUUGUUAAGUCAGUUGUGAAAGUUUGCGGCUCAAACGUAAAAUUGCAAUUGAUACUGGCAGACUUGAGUACAGUCGAGGUAGGCGGAAUUAGUGGUGUAGCGGUGAAAUGCUUAGAUAUCACGAAGAACUCCGAUUGCGAAGGCAGCUUACUAAACUGCCACUGACAUUGAUGCUCGAAAGUGUGGGUAGCAAACAGGAUUAGAUACCCUAGUAGUC
This 460-nucleotide ribosomal RNA is filed under the name uncultured bacterium. RNAcentral describes it as "partial 16S ribosomal RNA". It matches the Rfam family "Bacterial small subunit ribosomal RNA", at positions 338 to 795 of the family's 1533-position model. The record is from RNAcentral.